UGCAUAAUGUCAUCAUCUGCACACCUCUGGAAACCAGCUCCAGAGCAGACUUUUGGUAGGUCACAUUAAUAUAGAUGGUGAAGAGCAGGGGGAAUCUAAUAAAGAUCCAUUAAUCUUAACCAGGGAGGCAGAGUAGGGAUUAAUAUUCUACAACGUUAGGUCAGCUGUUAUGUUUUAUGAAGUGUUUCCACUUUUAUAGUAACCCUGGAUUUUAGGACUUUGCUCAGCAUGAAGUCAUAAUUUAAUUAUGGGUUUGACAUGCUGAGUGCAGCUGUCACAGCGGUGGUUGUAGAACAAUCAGGAUGACACAGCUCGUCUUUCAUUAUAUAAGUUUAUAUAACCGCUUAUUAAAAUGCUUGAAAAGGCAGUUGAACUCAGAAGGGAAGGUAAAACGAAUAGACUGGAUGUGAAAAUGAAAGUUAGAGCAACUAGAAAGCUUGUUUAUCCACAGACUGAUGAACAGAACGGGUCUCAUAAGCACUUAUAAAAUGGGUUUAUGUGUCACAAUAAGCCUGGAUUAAAAUGCAAAGAGCAGGGAUUUAGAUUUAAAACCCUGACAACGCUGUAAUUUCAUCACAGCAUUUCAGAUGCGAGACUGUCACGACGCUCAAGGUGUAAAUUAGAUUCACAUUUAACCUUCUAAUGUGAAACUAUAGGGCAAAAUAUCACGUUUGUAGAAAGGUAGCAGAAUAAACAGAAACCUUAACUGAAAACAAAAACAAAAACCUGACAGAUGAGAAAACCACAAUAAAAGUAAACCAUCUGGCAACGGUUUGGUAAAAACCAAAGGCUAGUUAUGCAAAGUAGUGGUUAGUGAUAGCAGCUGGGCUAAUGAAUGGAGUGGAGACAGGUGCGCGAUAAGCUGAUCAAGUCUUAGGGAAAUAAAGAAGAAAGGGAAAAAGAAAAUGAAUAAGAAAAGGUAAAAAGUGGAUCCCAGGUAAGGCAGAAAUUGGUAGAAAGAGCUGAAUGAAGAGAAGGAAGUGAAGAAGAACCAACUGAAGGUCACACAAAAAUCAGUGUGAACAGGAUGGAGGUACAAGAGAAUUAGAGCAGACUAAAAUCAGCCAUCAGACUGUUGAACAGCUCGGACCAGAGGCUGCUGCUGUUGUGUCCUUGGGCAAGACACUUAACCCGCCUUGCCUGCUGGUGGUGGUCGGAGGGACUUGUGGUGCCAGUGUUCGGCAGGCCUUGCCUCUCAGCGUGUGAAAUGGUCAAUGAGUGUGUUGUGAUGCGCUUUGGGGGUCUGUAGAACCCUGAGAAGGCGCUAUAUAAAUACAGGCCGUUUACCAUUUCUUAGAGUUCACUGGUUCAGCAACACAUUGUCACUCCCAGCAGGUCAAAAACAAACGCUUGGUCAGCCACCCUCCGCGUCAGACCCCUGACGCAGAACGUGCCCUUUUUCGUCACUUAUGUGUGAAAAUGGAUUUUCCCUUUUCUGACUGCAGAUUCCAAUGCAGCGUAAAACUGACGCGAUGGGAUGUUCGCUGAUGCGGCACCGAACCAUCUCAUAUAUCCGCACCUGAACCUUAACUUUUUACUAUUUAUAACCUUCCCCUCACCCUCAUCCUAACCUUCACCCUCUUGCCACCUAAAACGUUACUCUCACUGUGAUCAAGCGUUUGUUUCCCCUGCAUUCUGACUGUGAAUUUUCGUAUUUGCCGCCCAAGGGGAAUGUUAGAACAUACCAUCUGGCGAGGGGGAGGUUACAAAUACCCUCUACUUUUAAUGUCCACCGUGGUAGUUGAAACCUCCCUCUCACGUUGGCACAAACUCGACCAAUGACGAGGCGGCUCCCGCCGUUCACUUCAUAGAGCCGGCAUUUAGAGCGAUCGACACGUCACUAACGUGUUCGCUAGCAAGAUAAGAUAGGUUAGGAUAGGGGUGAGGGGAAGGUUAAAUAAGAGGAUAAGGUUAGGGUGAGGUACAAUGAGCUUGUUUGGUGCCCUGGCUGCGGACAUCCCAUUGCGUCAGUUUUACGCUGCAUUGGGAUCUGCAGUCAGAAAAGGGAAAAACCCCUUUUAAGUGACGAAAAAGGGCACUUUUGGUGUCAGGGGUCUGAGGCGGAGGGUGGCUGACUUUGUUUUUGACGCGCUGGGAGUGAGAAUGUGGGUUGAAAUCAUCGACAUAGAAUUAUAAAUAAUUGAAAUCCAUGUUCAGCAGGUCAUUAAGCUCAAUGGAAGCUUGCAAAUAACUCCCAGAUUAAAUUAAGCCUAGAGAAAUCUCUAAAACUAGAUAGGACCCUUGGAGGACCUCUAGUCCAGGUACACCUGUAGAAAACAUUUAUAUACUUCAGUCUCAUUUGUUGGACACUAAAAAUCAAAUAAAUCCAUAUUAGUAUUUCAUAUCUGACAAAUCUGUCAAAUGUUUUCUGCCCUCUGGUGGACAUUCUAAAUAUGAAAAAUCACAUUGUGUGUUAUUAUUGAUAAUUCUACUUAAACAGCUCAACUAAAUAAAAUCUGAAUAUUAUUUCAUGCUGGUUUUAGAGGCUUAAUUUUGUCAUAAC
Nothobranchius furzeri (turquoise killifish) is the source of this 2503-nucleotide long non-coding RNA. RefSeq lists it as uncharacterized. NCBI's taxonomy places the organism in Eukaryota, Metazoa, Chordata, Actinopteri, Cyprinodontiformes, Nothobranchiidae. The record is from RefSeq and is a predicted model, not a curated record.